UUGAACUGAAAGAGUGUGUGAGUGGACGUCAUGUUAAAGUGAUGCAACACAUCGCGUCAUUAUGUUUGUGCUGAUGUAAACACUUGUUCUGAUCUCUGAUUGGAUGCUGGUAAGAGAAAGUGGGCGGGUCUUACAUCCUGGUAAGGAGAAGCAGCUUCCUGAAACAAGGAACCAAACAUGCGACGACACAUCCGGACAACCUAAGGAAUACAAAGUUACUCUGACAUGAGUACGAGCCUGGAAUUAAACAUUAGACCACAGAUCUCAAGAGCUCAGUAACCUGCCAACCUGCUGCCCACCUCAGAGGGAGGCGAGCCGGGCUCAGAUUAAUCCUUAUCUGACCGCAGGAGUGUGACACGCUGGAGGAGGUUGGAUGCAGCCGGGGGGGAUCAGCAGCUCUGCAACAUUUCCAGGAGGAUUCACGAGGCAGUUUGAUCAUGGCAGGCGUACACAGACGUACACAUCAUCACCGCCUCUGUUUCAUCAUCUGUGUGUCUUCAGUCUUACUCCUCAUCCUCUUCAGUAAAG
Molecule: long non-coding RNA, 528 nt
Organism: Notolabrus celidotus (New Zealand spotty)
Lineage: Eukaryota; Metazoa; Chordata; Actinopteri; Labriformes; Labridae
Exons: 3
Source: RefSeq, a predicted model, not a curated record